RNAcentral lists this ribosomal RNA (275 nucleotides) under uncultured bacterium KC212. Its description in RNAcentral is "partial 16S rRNA". It matches the Rfam family "Bacterial small subunit ribosomal RNA", at positions 228 to 495 of the family's 1533-position model. Lineage: Bacteria; Pseudomonadati; Pseudomonadota; Gammaproteobacteria. The record is from RNAcentral.
AGCCUAGGUCGGAUUAGCUAGUUGGUGAGGUAAUGGCUCACCAAGGCGACGAUCCGCAACUGGUCUGAGAGGAUGAUCAGUCACACUGGAACUGAGACACGGUCCAGACUCCUACGGGAGGCAGCAGUGGGGAAUAUUGGACAAUGGGCGAAAGCCUGAUCCAGCCAUGCCGCGUGUGUGAAGAAGGUCUUCGGAUUAUAAAGCACUUUAAGUUGGGAGGAAGGGCAUUUACUUAAUACGGGAAGAAAAUGACUGUACCCGAAUAAGAAGGCCCG